Molecule: ribosomal RNA, 253 nt
Filed under: uncultured bacterium
Lineage: Bacteria
Also listed under: 1 other name
Description: partial 16S ribosomal RNA
Rfam family: Bacterial small subunit ribosomal RNA
Source: RNAcentral
UACGGAGGGUGCAAGCGUUAUCCGGAUUCACUGGGUUUAAAGGGUGCGUAGGAGGGCAGGUAAGUCAGUGGUGAAAUCUUCGAGCUUAACUCGGAAACUGCCGUUGAUACUAUCUGUCUUGAAUACCGUGGAGAUGAGCGGAAUAUGUCAUGUAGCGGUGAAAUGCUUAGAUAUGACAUAGAACACCAAUUGCGAAGGCAGCUCGUUACACGAAUAUUGACUCUGAGGCACGAAAGCGUGGGGAUCAAACAGG